RNAcentral lists this ribosomal RNA (775 nucleotides) under uncultured Neocallimastigales. RNAcentral's name for it is "partial large subunit ribosomal RNA". It matches the Rfam family "Eukaryotic large subunit ribosomal RNA", at positions 22 to 634 of the family's 3401-position model. The record is from RNAcentral. Lineage: Eukaryota; Fungi; Neocallimastigomycota; Neocallimastigomycetes; Neocallimastigales.
UCUAUACAUGACUCUGCGCAUAUCAAUAAGCGGAGGAAAAGAAACUAACAAGGAUUCCCUUAGUAACGGCGAGUGAAGCGGGAAGAGCUCAAAUUUGAAAUCUUCAAGGUUUUACCUUGACGAAUAGUAGUUUAAAGAAGAGUUUUCUGCUGAAGUUUUGGUAAAAGUUCUUUGGAAUAGGACAUCAUAGAGGGUGAGAAUCCCGUAUUUGACCAUUAUUUUCAGCUUUGUGAUACACUUUCAAAGAGUCGGAUUGUUUGGGAAUGCAGUCCAAAAUGGGUGGUAAAUUUCAUCUAAAGCUAAAUAUUGGCGAGAGACCGAUAGCGAACAAGUACCGUGAGGGAAAGAUGAAAAGGACUUUGAAAAGAGAGUUAAACAGUACGUGAAAUUGUCAAAAGGGAAGCGUUUGACACCAGUGUUGUUUUUCUGAAAAUCAAUUAAAGAACUGUUUAUGCUAAGCUGUUUAGACUUUAUCAGCUAUCUGUUUAGUUUUGAGCUUUUCUUUAGUGCACUUUUCAGUUAACAAGUCAACAUCAAUUUCUUUUGCUGUAAAAAAGCUUGAGGAAGGUGGCUUGAGAUUCGUCUUAAGUGUUUAUAGCCUCUUGCCUAUGCAGUCGGAGAGAUUGAGGUCUGCAGCGUAGAUCCUUCGGGGCUAAAUGCAUUUGUGCUAAGUUAUAGCAUUUUAUAGACAACUUGUUGACUAUGAUUUGUCUUGUAGCUUACUCGCUUAUGUUAUUUUACCUACGCUUAGGAUGUUGACAGCAGUAUAGACUGU